AAUCUUCCACAAUGGACGGAAGUCUGAUGGAGCAACGCCGCGUGAGCGAAGAAGGUGUUCGCAUCGUAAAGCUCUGUUGUAGUGGCAGAACACGUACGGGCGGCACUUCCCGUCCCUUGACGGUACCUUAUCAGAAAGCCACGGGUAACUACGGGCCAGCGUCCGCGGUAAUACGUAGGUGGCAAGCGUUGUCCGGAAUUAUUGGGCGUAAAGCGCGCGCAGGCGGUCCUUUAAGUCUGAUGUGAAAGCCCACGGCUCAACCGUGGAGGGUCAUUGGAAACCGGAGGACUUGAGUACAGAAGAGGAAAGCGGAAUUCCACGUGUAGCGGUGAAAUGCGUAGAGAUGUGGAGGAACACCAGUGGCGAAGGCGGCUUUCUGGUCUGUAACUGACGCUGAGGCGCGAAAGCGUGGGGAGCAAACAG
RNAcentral lists this ribosomal RNA (423 nucleotides) under uncultured bacterium. Its description in RNAcentral is "partial 16S ribosomal RNA". It matches the Rfam family "Bacterial small subunit ribosomal RNA", at positions 360 to 775 of the family's 1533-position model. The record is from RNAcentral.